RNAcentral lists this ribosomal RNA (3013 nucleotides) under Salmonella enterica. RNAcentral describes it as "bacterial LSU rRNA". It matches the Rfam family "Bacterial large subunit ribosomal RNA". The record is from RNAcentral. Lineage: Bacteria; Pseudomonadati; Pseudomonadota; Gammaproteobacteria; Enterobacterales; Enterobacteriaceae.
GGGUUGUGAGGUUAAGCGACUAAGCGUACACGGUGGAUGCCCUGGCAGUCAGAGGCGAUGAAGGGCGUGCUAAUCUGCGAUAAGCGCCGGUAAGGUGAUAUGAACCGUUAUAACCGGCGAUACCCGAAUGGGGAAACCCAGUGUGACUCGUCACACUAUCAUUAACUGAAUCCAUAGGUUAAUGAGGCGAACCGGGGGAACUGAAACAUCUAAGUACCCCGAGGAAAAGAAAUCAACCGAGAUUCCCCCAGUAGCGGCGAGCGAACGGGGAGGAGCCCAGAGCCUGAAUCAGCAUGUGUGUUAGUGGAAGCGUCUGGAAAGGCGCGCGAUACAGGGUGAUAGCCCCGUACACAAAAGCGCAUGUGUUGUGAGCUCGAUGAGUAGGGCGGGACACGUGGUAUCCUGUCUGAAUAUGGGGGGACCAUCCUCCAAGGCUAAAUACUCCUGACUGACCGAUAGUGAACCAGUACCGUGAGGGAAAGGCGAAAAGAACCCCGGCGAGGGGAGUGAAAAAGAACCUGAAACCGUGUACGUACAAGCAGUGGGAGCACAGGUUUACCUGUGUGACUGCGUACCUUUUGUAUAAUGGGUCAGCGACUUAUAUUCUGUAGCAAGGUUAACCGAAUAGGGGAGCCGGAGGGAAACCGAGUCUUAAUUGGGCGUUAAGUUGCAGGGUAUAGACCCGAAACCCGGUGAUCUAGCCAUGGGCAGGUUGAAGGUUGGGUAACACUAACUGGAGGACCGAACCGACUAAUGUUGAAAAAUUAGCGGAUGACCUGUGGCUGGGGGUGAAAGGCCAAUCAAACCGGGAGAUAGCUGGUUCUCCCCGAAAGCUAUUUAGGUAGCGCCUCGUGAAUUCAUCUUCGGGGGUAGAGCACUGUUUCGGCUAGGGGGCCAUCCCGGCUUACCAACCCGAUGCAAACUGCGAAUACCGGAGAAUGUUAUCACGGGAGACACACGGCGGGUGCUAACGUCCGUCGUGAAGAGGGAAACAACCCAGACCGCCAGCUAAGGUCCCAAAGUCAUGGUUAAGUGGGAAACGAUGUGGGAAGGCCCAGACAGCCAGGAUGUUGGCUUAGAAGCAGCCAUCAUUUAAAGAAAGCGUAAUAGCUCACUGGUCGAGUCGGCCUGCGCGGAAGAUGUAACGGGGCUAAACCAUGCACCGAAGCUGCGGCAGCGAACGUAUCACCCAAGACAACUUUGCGGAGUUGACGAUUGACGGAGCGAAGCGACGUCAAAGCGUUCAUUAAAGUCGAGUUGGCUUAGGGAUACGUUCGUUGGGUAGGGGAGCGUUCUGUAAGCCUGUGAAGGUGGCCUGUGAGGGUUGCUGGAGGUAUCAGAAGUGCGAAUGCUGACAUAAGUAACGAUAAAGCGGGUGAAAAGCCCGCUCGCCGGAAGACCAAGGGUUCCUGUCCAACGUUAAUCGGGGCAGGGUGAGUCGACCCCUAAGGCGAGGCCGAAAGGCGUAGUCGAUGGGAAACGGGUUAAUAUUCCCGUACUUGGUGUUACUGCGAAGGGGGGACGGAGAAGGCUAUGUUGGCCGGGCGACGGUUGUCCCGGUUUAAGCGUGUAGGUGUGUGUUCCAGGUAAAUCCGGUUCACUUUAACACUGAGGCGUGACGACGAGGCACUACGGUGCUGAAGCAACAAAUGCCCUGCUUCCAGGAAAAGCCUCUAAGCAUCAGGUAACAUCAAAUCGUACCCCAAACCGACACAGGUGGUCAGGUAGAGAAUACCAAGGCGCUUGAGAGAACUCGGGUGAAGGAACUAGGCAAAAUGGUGCCGUAACUUCGGGAGAAGGCACGCUGACACGUAGGUGAAGUGAUUUACUCAUGGAGCUGAAGUCAGUCGAAGAUACCAGCUGGCUGCAACUGUUUAUUAAAAACACAGCACUGUGCAAACACGAAAGUGGACGUAUACGGUGUGACGCCUGCCCGGUGCCGGAAGGUUAAUUGAUGGGGUCAGCGCAAGCGAAGCUCCUGAUCGAAGCCCCGGUAAACGGCGGCCGUAACUAUAACGGUCCUAAGGUAGCGAAAUUCCUUGUCGGGUAAGUUCCGACCUGCACGAAUGGCGUAAUGAUGGCCAGGCUGUCUCCACCCGAGACUCAGUGAAAUUGAACUCGCUGUGAAGAUGCAGUGUACCCGCGGCAAGACGGAAAGACCCCGUGAACCUUUACUAUAGCUUGACACUGAACAUUGAGCCUUGAUGUGUAGGAUAGGUGGGAGGCUUUGAAGUGUGGACGCCAGUCUGCAUGGAGCCGACCUUGAAAUACCACCCUUUAAUGUUUGAUGUUCUAACGUGGACCCGUGAUCCGGGUUGCGGACAGUGUCUGGUGGGUAGUUUGACUGGGGCGGUCUCCUCCUAAAGAGUAACGGAGGAGCACGAAGGUUGGCUAAUCCUGGUCGGACAUCAGGAGGUUAGUGCAAUGGCAUAAGCCAGCUUGACUGCGAGCGUGACGGCGCGAGCAGGUGCGAAAGCAGGUCAUAGUGAUCCGGUGGUUCUGAAUGGAAGGGCCAUCGCUCAACGGAUAAAAGGUACUCCGGGGAUAACAGGCUGAUACCGCCCAAGAGUUCAUAUCGACGGCGGUGUUUGGCACCUCGAUGUCGGCUCAUCACAUCCUGGGGCUGAAGUAGGUCCCAAGGGUAUGGCUGUUCGCCAUUUAAAGUGGUACGCGAGCUGGGUUUAGAACGUCGUGAGACAGUUCGGUCCCUAUCUGCCGUGGGCGCUGGAGAACUGAGGGGGGCUGCUCCUAGUACGAGAGGACCGGAGUGGACGCAUCACUGGUGUUCGGGUUGUCAUGCCAAUGGCACUGCCCGGUAGCUAAAUGCGGAAGAGAUAAGUGCUGAAAGCAUCUAAGCACGAAACUUGCCCCGAGAUGAGUUCUCCCUGAGACUUUAGGUCUCCUGAAGGAACGUUGAAGACGACGACGUUGAUAGGCCGGGUGUGUAAGCGCAGCGAUGCGUUGAGCUAACCGGUACUAAUGAACCGUGAGGCUUAACCUUACAACGCCGAAG